RNAcentral lists this ribosomal RNA (497 nucleotides) under uncultured bacterium. RNAcentral's name for it is "bacterial SSU rRNA". It matches the Rfam family "Bacterial small subunit ribosomal RNA", at positions 30 to 504 of the family's 1533-position model. The record is from RNAcentral.
CGAACGCUGGCGGCGCGCUUAACACAUGCAAGUCGAGCGAGAAAGCGGGCUUCGGUCCGUUAGUAAAGCGGCAGACGGGUGAGUAACACGUGGGUAACCUACCUCCGAGUGGGGGAUAACUCAGGGAAACUUGGGCUAAUACCGCAUAACAUCCGGAACCUCUCGGGGAUCCGGAUCGAAGCCGGGGAUCUUCGGACCUGGCGCCUGGAGAUGGGCCCGCGCCUGAUUAGCUUGUUGGUGGGGUAACGGCCUACCAAGGCUGCGAUCAGUAGCCGGCCUGAGAGGGUGAUCGGCCACACUGGAACUGAGACACGGUCCAGACUCCUACGGGAGGCAGCAGUGAGGAAUUUUGCGCAAUGGGCGAAAGCCUGACGCAGCGACGCCGCGUGGACGACGAAGGCCUUCGGGUCGUAAAGUCCUGUCGAGAGGGAAGAGAUGACAAGGGUGAUAACCCCUUGUCUCCGACGGUACCUCUGGAGGAAGCCCCGGCUAACUCC